ACAGCCUUCUCCUCCAUCCUCCCAUAGCCUCUCCAGCCAAUGUCCCCAGUGGCUCCCCCUGGUCCUCUCUUUGCUGUGUGCAUCACCUCCCUAGGCGUAUCUCCCGCUCCACAGCUUGUGCAGCCAGAUUCCAGCUCCCUGGGGCUAGCAGAAGAAGACCUCAUUGGAGAGGACGACGACAUGCCAUCCUUCCGAUACAGACCAGACGCUCUGCCGUUACCUCAGGCUCCCGGCCUGGCCUUUCUGCUGUCAGUACCAAAGGGGACCCAGGCAGAUGCCCUUAGAUCUGGUGGACAAAAUGGGUUGAUUUCCAGGGGAUCCUCCUUGAGUCUACCCUCUGCUUAAAGAGAUCCACCGGAUGGCGCUGCGCAGCCA
RNAcentral lists this long non-coding RNA (375 nucleotides) under Chrysemys picta bellii (western painted turtle). Its description in RNAcentral is "lncRNA (ENSCPBG00000010627.1)". The record is from RNAcentral. Lineage: Eukaryota; Metazoa; Chordata; Testudines; Emydidae.